AGUAGCGGUGAAAUGCGUAGAUAUCUGGAGGAAUACCAAAGGCGAAGGCAGUCCCCUGGUCCGAUACUGACACUGAGGUACGAAAGCGUGGGGAGCAAACAGGAUUAGAUACCCUGGUAGUCCACGCCCUAAACGAUGUCGAUUAGCCAUUGGAAGGACCCCUUUUCCUUUCAGUGACGUAGCUAACGCGUUAAAUCGACCGCCUGGGAAGUACGACCGCAAGGUUAAAACUCAAAGGAAUUGACGGGGACCUGAACAAGCGGUGAAUGAUGUGGAUUAAUUCGAUGCUACGCGAAGAACCUUACCUACCUUUGACAUGGCCAAAGUUCUACCGAGAGGCGGAAGGACUCGUAAGAGGAUUGGCGCACAGGUGCUGCAUGGUUGUCGUCAGUUCGUGUCGUGAGAUGUUGGGUUCAGUCCCGCAACGAACGCAACCCUUAUCUUUAAUUGCUCCUAUUUUAACAGGCACUUUAAAGAAACUGCCAAUGAUAAGUUGGAGGAAGGUGGGGAUCACGUCAAGUCCGCAUGGCCUUUAUAGGUAGGGCUUCACACGUCAUACAAUGGUUAGAACAAAGAGCUGCAAAUUCGUAAGAAGGAGCCAAUCUCACAAACCUAACCUCAGUUCGAAUUGCGGUCUGCAACUCGAGCGCAUGAAGCCGGAAUCGCUAGUAAUCGUGGAUCAGAAUGCCA
This 690-nucleotide ribosomal RNA is filed under the name uncultured Candidatus Tremblayella sp. RNAcentral describes it as "bacterial SSU rRNA". It matches the Rfam family "Bacterial small subunit ribosomal RNA", at positions 674 to 1359 of the family's 1533-position model. The record is from RNAcentral. Lineage: Bacteria; Pseudomonadati; Pseudomonadota; Betaproteobacteria.